Molecule: ribosomal RNA, 498 nt
Filed under: uncultured bacterium
Lineage: Bacteria
Description: partial 16S ribosomal RNA
Rfam family: Bacterial small subunit ribosomal RNA
Source: RNAcentral
AUUGAACGCUGGCGGCAUGCCUUACACAUGCAAGUCGAACGGUAACAGGUCUUCGGAUGCUGACGAGUGGCGAACGGGUGAGUAAUACAUCGGAACGUGCCUAGUAGUGGGGGAUAACUACUCGAAAGAGUGGCUAAUACCGCAUGAGAUCUACGGAUGAAAGCAGGGGAUCGCAAGACCUUGUGCUACUAGAGCGGCCGAUGGCAGAUUAGGUAGUUGGUGGGAUAAAAGCUUACCAAGCCGACGAUCUGUAGCUGGUCUGAGAGGACGAUCAGCCACACUGGGACGGGGACACGGCCCAGACUCCUACGGGAAGCAGCAGUGGGGAAUUUUGGACAAUGGGCGAAAGCCUGAUCCAGCAAUGCCGCGUGCAGGAUGAAGGCCUUCGGGUUGUAAACUGCUUUUGUACGGAACGAAAAGCCCCGGGUUAAUACCCUGGGGUCAUGACGGUACCGUAAGAAUAAGCACCGGCUAACUACGUGCCAGCAGCCGCCGUAA